This 251-nucleotide ribosomal RNA is filed under the name uncultured bacterium. RNAcentral describes it as "partial 16S ribosomal RNA". It matches the Rfam family "Bacterial small subunit ribosomal RNA", at positions 525 to 775 of the family's 1533-position model. The record is from RNAcentral.
ACGUAUGGGGCAAGCGUUAUCCGGAUUUACUGGGUGUAAAGGGAGCGUAGGCGGUAUGGCAAGUCAGAAGUGAAAGCCUGGGGCUCAACCCCGGAAUUGCUUUUGAAACUGUCAAACUAGAGUGUCGGAGGGGUAAGCGGAAUUCCUAGUGUAGCGGUGAAAUGCGCAGAUAUUAGGAGGAACACCGGUGGCGAAGGCGGCUUACUGGACGACCACUGACGCUGAGGCUCGAAAGCGUGGGGAGCAAACAG